This is a long non-coding RNA of Anastrepha ludens (Mexican fruit fly), 836 nucleotides long. RefSeq lists it as uncharacterized. NCBI's taxonomy places the organism in Eukaryota, Metazoa, Arthropoda, Insecta, Diptera, Tephritidae. The transcript is spliced from 3 exons. The record is from RefSeq and is a predicted model, not a curated record.
ACUCAUCUUGUGUGCAUGUAUGCAUUAUUGUAUAUUUCUUCUGAGAGCACUGUCAAAUUCAAUCACACUUGGCUAAAUAUAUUUUGUAUCACUGACGAAUGUUAUAAAAAAAUACACAUUAGUUAUCAAUGGUCUGAACUGUGGUAUCCGGCUGUCAAGCUGACGUCAAUGGGGUCACGAACCGGUUUGAUAACGAAAAAACUAAGAUUGGGUUAGUGAUAUAUGAAAAAAAUCAAUAUAAUAUCACUUCAUUGCCAUCUGAACAACGAGCGAUUUCGCUAGCGAAUUCCUCGUUAUGUGGGAAGUUCCCGUCACAAUUUUCUUUUUCCCUAUAGUUAUUGGCCAAACCUUAUAAAUCUAUCCUCAUUGGUCUCAAUACUAGUUCGGAAUUUUUGAACGUAGAACGUUAAAACGUACUUGAUCUUAUCCGUCGAUUUUAGUACUUUUUUGUUGUUGCAGUAAACUAAACCGUGGCAAUACGGAAUAAUCACCUAGUGUCAUGGUCUAAAAAUUACCUGCAAAAUUGACAAUCAGCCGCUAACGCUGUUUUGGAAGAUGUUUCUACAUAGAAAUGAAGAAAAGACAAGGAGAAGGAAUUUAAUUGCGUAAUUGGCUGCUAAUAAUCAUAAUAAUAAACAGUUGGAGGAAAUCCGUCAACGACGUUUACUGACGUUGCAAAAAAUGAUGGCAGCAAUACACAUCCGAAAUUCGAUAUUACAUUUUUUAAUAAGCAAUAACAGGCCAAAGCGUCUAUGGACAUAGAUGUUUUCCGGUAAUAUGAAUACAUAGUUAAUAAUACCAAACAAAAAAUUUAUUAGAAUUAUGUCUACAAACCU